This 2076-nucleotide long non-coding RNA is filed under the name Rattus norvegicus (Norway rat). Its description in RNAcentral is "long non-coding RNA NONRATT023227". The record is from RNAcentral. Lineage: Eukaryota; Metazoa; Chordata; Mammalia; Rodentia; Muridae.
UACCUUCAGAAUUUUUUUUAGCCAAAAUAGGAGCAAGAAACUCUCGGCAGAACCGCCAGCCCCACUAACUCUUCCUGUCUCCCCUGCAGCAUCCAGCGCCGGCUGUCGCUCCAGCUCCCCAUCCUUCACCACGCCUACCUCCCAUCCAUCGGAGGCGUGGAUGCCAGCUGCGUCAGCCCCUGUGUCAGCCCUACCGCCAGCCCUCGCCACAGACACGUACCACCCUCCUUCCGAGUCAUGGUCUCGGGCCUGUAGGGGUGGGAGGCCUGGGGCCGGGGCCUCCCCGGGACAGCACCAUGCUGGGCCAAGGCGCCUGCCACAGGCACACUGACGGUGGCGAGAAGCUGGGCACCAUGCUGCCUCUCCAGACUGCUGGAAUGGCGCUCAGGCAGAGCGGGACUCGGCACCGACCUCGAGCCUUAUCUGUGAAGGUCUUACUCUCACAGAGGAGAGGAAUGACAAUGACUUCUCCUUCUUGGCGUCUGCAAACAAAGAGGAGUUGGGAUGUCUGAAACUUGCAAAAACAAAUCAAACUCUAGACAAAGGAGAGAGGCCUCGGACUCCUGCUGUCCUCGCCAAGUGGCCAGAGCAAGGGCUCUGCAGAAAUGGCCCUCGGCACUCUGCACACACGUCAUCGGUGGUGCCCGCCCCCACACACCAGCCCUUCUCCACUCUGGGGGAGAAGGUGAGCAGGGCCACCAGGUCCCCAGCAGCUGGCCCAGUCCACUUCAGACUUCCUGGAACAAGGGAGUCAGCAGGAAGGGUAGCCGGGCUCUGCCCUGGGGCUGGGGGAACCAGAGCAAGCAGCUGCGCAUGCUCCCAGGGGACAUCCAUCAGAAGAGAGAUGUUUGUUACUCUCUGAUAAAUGCCACACAUUAACACAAUAACACCCGUUCCGGGGACUGUGGGGAUUCAGGGCACCGCACUGCAGACAUGCUCUGCAGGAUGCAACAGACAGUCUGUCAUGCACCUACCGUGUCGGCCAUGUUCUUGUGUUCAAAUUUAGGGUUCCCGGUAAUAAGGGGAACCAUCUGAGCUAAUCAUGGAAUGUCUGCUCCCAGAAAACACGAUAAAGAAAGAUUGUGCACUUUAACCUCUCCCAUGGGGGCCCAAGGGCUGCUGGGAUUCCCCCUCUCCCAACACACUGACUUUGUUUUUGACCAAAGUGAAUCAGGGGCAUUCUGCUAAAAGUCAUCUCUGUGUUCCUGAGCUAGAGCUGCUGGCCCAGGGCCCCCUGGCUUCCAGAAGGUAGCCCUCCAGUGCCCCUCCAGCCCUAACCCGUGAGUGCCCACCUAGGGUGUCACUGAGGCGGUCAGUCAGCAGGCUGGUUCCCAUCCAUCACGACAUACUUUCCUUGUAAUUGAACCCCAAAGAGCACUGGCCUGGGAGUCAGACCUGGAUUUGAGUCCUCAGUCCCUUCAGACUCUCUCCGUGACCUUGGGCAAGUCACCAGUGUCUCUCUGAGCCUCGGUUUCCCCUCUGUAACAGACUGGGGUUGAAAUAACACCCAUCCUGCCUACCUCACAGGGUCACUCUGAGGAUGGACACUUGAUCUCAUUCAUCCAGGAGAGCUUUGCACUGGGAAGCAGCUCUGACCUGUGAGGUAUUAGUACGACCAUGACCUUCAGCCCUCCCACCAGCUGGGGAGGGUGCGGUGCGGCCCAGAGAAACUUCCUGCAAGGCCCUCUACCUAGGGACAGGAACAGCCCAGUCAGAGGCAGGCUCAGGACUCUUCUGACAUUCCUUAAUAGGUUCAUUCUUUGCUAAAGGCCAGAAUGGCACCGUCCAGGGGCGUCUGCACAAACGAGUGGUUUGCUCACUCCCUAAAGAAUCCUAAAGGCAGCUUCAACAGGCAGGCAAUAAUCUCUUCCCAGACCACUGCAGUCAGGAACACACUGCUGUCAACCACCAGGCUGUGACGAAAGGGCCCACGGGAAUCACCAUCGCCAACAUUUCAAAACACCCUAGUUCACGUAGCAUAGCUCUUCCUCCCCAUCCCUCAAAGAGAGGUUACAGAGGUUCUGUAGCUUUUAAGGGGGGAAAAAAUGUCAACACAUCACAGGUCAAGUUGAUGUC